UACGAAGGGUGCAAGCGUUACUCGGAAUUACUGGGCGUAAAGCGUGCGUAGGCGGUUUGUUAAGUCUGCUGUGAAAGCCCCGGGCUCAACCUGGGAACUGCAGUGGAAACUGGCAAGCUAGAGUGUGUCAGAGGAUGGUGGAAUUCCCGGUGUAGCGGUGAAAUGCGUAGAGAUCGGGAGGAACAUCAGUGGCGAAGGCGACUCACUGGACAUGUAUUGACGCUGAGGUGCGAAAGCGUGGGGAGCAAACAGG
This 253-nucleotide ribosomal RNA is filed under the name uncultured bacterium. Its description in RNAcentral is "partial 16S ribosomal RNA". It matches the Rfam family "Bacterial small subunit ribosomal RNA", at positions 524 to 776 of the family's 1533-position model. The record is from RNAcentral.